GGCGUGCCUAAUACAUGCAAGUCGAGCGAACAGACGAGGAGCUUGCUCCUCUGACGUUAGCGGCGGACGGGUGAGUAACACGUGGAUAACCUACCUAUAAGACUGGGAUAACUUCGGGAAACCGGAGCUAAUACCGGAUAAUAUAUUGAACCGCAUGGUUCAAUAGUGAAAGACGGUUUUGCUGUCACUUAUAGAUGGAUCCGCGCCGCAUUAGCUAGUUGGUAAGGUAACGGCUUACCAAGGCAACGAUGCGUAGCCGACCUGAGAGGGUGAUCGGCCACACUGGAACUGAGACACGGUCCAGACUCCUACGGGAGGCAGCAGUAGGGAAUCUUCCGCAAUGGGCGAAAGCCUGACGGAGCAACGCCGCGUGAGUGAUGAAGGUCUUCGGAUCGUAAAACUCUGUUAUUAGGGAAGAACAAAUGUGUAAGUAACUAUGCACGUCUUGACGGUACCUAAUCAGAAAGCCACGGCUAACUACGUGCCAGCAGCCGCGGUAAUACGUAGGUGGCAAGCGUUAUCCGGAAUUAUUGGGCGUAAAGCGCGCGUAGGCGGUUUUUUAAGUCUGAUGUGAAAGCCCACGGCUCAACCGUGGAGGGUCAUUGGAAACUGGAAAACUUGAGUGCAGAAGAGGAAAGUGGAAUUCCAUGUGUAGCGGUGAAAUGCGCAGAGAUAUGGAGGAACACCAGUGGCGAAGGCGACUUUCUGGUCUGUAACUGACGCUGAUGUGCGAAAGCGUGGGGAUCAAACAGGAUUAGAUACCCUGGUAGUCCACGCCGUAAACGAUGAGUGCUAAGUGUUAGGGGGUUUCCGCCCCUUAGUGCUGCAGCUAA
This 833-nucleotide ribosomal RNA is filed under the name Staphylococcus epidermidis. RNAcentral describes it as "bacterial SSU rRNA". It matches the Rfam family "Bacterial small subunit ribosomal RNA", at positions 41 to 855 of the family's 1533-position model. Lineage: Bacteria; Bacillati; Bacillota; Bacilli; Caryophanales; Staphylococcaceae. The record is from RNAcentral.